RNAcentral lists this ribosomal RNA (447 nucleotides) under uncultured soil bacterium. RNAcentral's name for it is "bacterial SSU rRNA". It matches the Rfam family "Bacterial small subunit ribosomal RNA", at positions 26 to 518 of the family's 1533-position model. The record is from RNAcentral.
AGAACGAACGCUGGCGGCACGCCUAACACAUGCAAGUCGAGCGAGACCUUCGGGUUUAGCGGCGGACGGGUUAGUAACGCGUGGGAACGUACCCUUUUCUACGGAAUAGCCUCGGGAAACUGGGAGUAAUACCGUAUACGCCCUUUUGGGGAAAGAUUUAUCGGAGAAGGAUCGGCCCGCGUCUGAUUAGAUAGUUGGUGGGGUAAUGGCCUACCAAGUCUGCGAUCAGUAGCUGGUUUGAGAGGAUGAUCAGCAACACUGGGACUGAGACACGGCCCAGACUCCUACGGGAGGCAGCAGUGGGGAAUCUUAGACAAUGGGCGCAAGCCUGAUCUAGCGAUGCCGCGUGAGUGACGAAGGCCUUAGGGUCGUAAAGCUCUUUCGCCAGGGAUGAUAAUGACAGUACCUGGUAAAGAAACCCCCGGCUAACUCCGCGCCAGCAGCCGC